CGUGUAGUGCUCCGCACGCAGCUGCGCAAGCCGUGCGCUCACGUUUGCGCUGCGCAAAAAAACAGAAGCGGCGAGACACACCUGAGAAAAAAAACAAGACAGAGAUAAUGUGUUUGCACACGUGUGAUAUAUCUAAAAACCAGUUAGCACAAUCUGUGUACAAGUUAUUGAGACCCGAAACUUUGCUGACGCCAUGUUACAUAAAUCGACCGCAACUUUCGAUCUCUUGACGACAACUUUUUUUAAGCUUAAUUUCCUCUUUCUCGUCGAAAAGAAGGAACAGAUACAUUCAUCACGCUUCGCCGGACAGAAGAGAAGGACAUGGAAGUAAUAAAUUUCUUUUGAAGAAACUAUUUCGUUUAA
Molecule: long non-coding RNA, 363 nt
Organism: Linepithema humile (Argentine ant)
Lineage: Eukaryota; Metazoa; Arthropoda; Insecta; Hymenoptera; Formicidae
Source: RefSeq, a predicted model, not a curated record